GAUGAACGCUGGCGGCGUGCCUAAUACAUGCAAGUCGAGCGAACGGACGAGAAACUUGCUUCUCUGAUGUUAGCGGCGGACGGGUGAGUAACACGUGGAUAACCUACCUAUAAGACUGGGAUAACUUCGGGAAACCGGAGCUAAUACCGGAUAAUAUUUUGAACCGCAUGGUUCAGAAGUGAAAGACGGUCUUGCUGUCACUUAUAGAUGGAUCCGCGCUGCAUUAGCUAGUUGGUAAGGUAACGGCUUACCAAGGCAACGAUGCAUAGCCGACCUGAGAGGGUGAUCGGCCACACUGGAACUGAGACACGGUCCAGACUCCUACGGGAGGCAGCAGUAGGGAAUCUUCCGCAAUGGGCGAAAGCCUGACGGAGCAACGCCGCGUGAGUGAUGAAGGUCUUCGGAUCGUAAAACUCUGUUAUUAGGGAAGAACAUAUGUGUAAGUAACUGUGCACAUCUUGACGGUACCUAAUCAGAAAGCCACGGCUAACUACGUG
This 497-nucleotide ribosomal RNA is filed under the name uncultured bacterium. Its description in RNAcentral is "partial 16S ribosomal RNA". It matches the Rfam family "Bacterial small subunit ribosomal RNA", at positions 28 to 507 of the family's 1533-position model. The record is from RNAcentral.